GACGAACGCUGGCGGCGCGCUUAAUACAUGCAAGUCGAGCGAGAACUAGGGCUUCGGCCCUGGGGACAGCGGCGAACGGGUGAGUAACACGUGGGUAAUCAACCCCCGACACCGGGAUAGCCCAGGGAAACUUGGAUUAAUACCGGAUGCCCCAUCUGGCUUUCGAGCCGGCUGGAAAAGGGUAGCUUCGGCCUCCGGUCGGGGACGAGCCCGCGGCGGAUUAGCUUGUUGGUGAGGUAAAGGCUCACCAAGGCGACGAUCCGUAGCUGGUCUGGGAGGACGAUCAGCCACACUGGGACUGAGACACGGCCCAGACUCCUACGGGAGGCAGCAGUAGGGAAUCUUGCGCAAUGGGCGAAGGCCUGACGCAGCGACGCCGCGUGAGGGAAGAAGGCCUUCGGGUUGUAAACCUCUUUCAGGAGGGACGAAGCCACUCGGGUUAAUAGCCUAGAGGGUGACGGUACCUCCAGAAGAAGCCCCGGCUAACUACGUGCCAGCAGCCGCCGUAA
RNAcentral lists this ribosomal RNA (509 nucleotides) under uncultured bacterium. RNAcentral describes it as "partial 16S ribosomal RNA". It matches the Rfam family "Bacterial small subunit ribosomal RNA", at positions 28 to 523 of the family's 1533-position model. The record is from RNAcentral.